CCUACGGGAGGCAGCAGUGGGGAAUAUUGGGCAAUGGGCGCAAGCCUGACCCAGCAACGCCGCGUGAAGGAAGAAGGCUUUCGGGUUGUAAACUUCUUUUCUCAGGGACGAAGCAAGUGACGGUACCUGAUGAAUAAGCCACGGCUAACUACGUUCCAGCAGCCGCUGUAAUACGUAGGUGGCAAGCGUUAUCCUGAUUUACUGGGUGUAAAGGGCGUGUAGGCGGGAAAGCAAGUCAGAUGUGAAAACCAUGGGCUCAGCCUGUGGCCUGCAUUUGAAACUGUUUUUCUGGAGUACUGGAGAGGCAGACGGAAGUCCUAGUGUAGCGGUGAAAUGCGUAGAUAUUAGGAGGAACACCAGUGGCGAAGGCGGUCUGCUGGACAGCAACUGACGCUGAGGCGCGAAAGCGUGGGGAGCAAACAGGAUUAGAUACCCGGGUAGUC
RNAcentral lists this ribosomal RNA (443 nucleotides) under uncultured bacterium. RNAcentral describes it as "partial 16S ribosomal RNA". It matches the Rfam family "Bacterial small subunit ribosomal RNA", at positions 338 to 795 of the family's 1533-position model. The record is from RNAcentral.